Molecule: ribosomal RNA, 253 nt
Filed under: uncultured bacterium
Lineage: Bacteria
Description: partial 16S ribosomal RNA
Rfam family: Bacterial small subunit ribosomal RNA
Source: RNAcentral
UACGUAGGGUGCAAGCGUUAAUCGGAAUUACUGGGCGUAAAGCGUGCGCAGGCGGUUUCUUAAGUCAGAUGUGAAAGCCCCGGGCUUAACCUGGGAACUGCGUUUGAAACUGGGAGACUUGAGUGUGGCAGAGGGGGGUGGAAUUCCACGUGUAGCAGUGAAAUGCGUAGAUAUGUGGAGGAACACCAAUAGGGAAGGCAGCUCGCUGGGACGGUACUGACGCUAAGGCGCGAAAGCGUGGGGAGCGAACAGG